This 76-nucleotide transfer RNA is filed under the name Enterobacteriaceae bacterium ATCC 29904. RNAcentral describes it as "tRNA-Ala". It matches the Rfam family "tRNA". From Rfam's summary of the family: Transfer RNA (tRNA) molecules are approximately 80 nucleotides in length. Their secondary structure includes four short double-helical elements and three loops (D, anti-codon, and T loops). Further hydrogen bonds mediate the characteristic L-shaped molecular structure. tRNAs have two regions of fundamental functional importance: the anti-codon, which is responsible for specific mRNA codon recognition, and the 3' end, to which the tRNAs corresponding amino acid is attached (by aminoacyl-tRNA synthetases). tRNAs cope with the degeneracy of the genetic code in two manners: having more than one tRNA (with a specific anti-codon) for a particular amino acid; and 'wobble' base-pairing, i.e. permitting non-standard base-pairing at the 3rd anti-codon position. The record is from RNAcentral. Lineage: Bacteria; Pseudomonadati; Pseudomonadota; Gammaproteobacteria; Enterobacterales; Enterobacteriaceae. RNAcentral also lists the same sequence under 1 other name.
GGGGCUAUAGCUCAGCCGGGAGAGCGCCUGCCUUGCACGCAGGAGGUCUGCGGUUCGAUCCCGCAUAGCUCCACCA